RNAcentral lists this ribosomal RNA (863 nucleotides) under Ehrlichia canis. RNAcentral's name for it is "bacterial SSU rRNA". The stretch from base 442 to 863 matches the Rfam family "Bacterial small subunit ribosomal RNA", at positions 1 to 436 of the family's 1533-position model. Lineage: Bacteria; Pseudomonadati; Pseudomonadota; Alphaproteobacteria; Rickettsiales; Anaplasmataceae. The record is from RNAcentral.
CAUUAAUUUAAUUUUAAUUUUUAAAUAUAUUAAAUAAAAAAGAAAAUUUAAAUUAAUUUUAAAUAAUUAAGAUUUAAAUUUAAAAUUUUAAAUGGUAAAUAAUAUAUAAUUUUAAAUAUGUAUUAAAUUUUAAAAAUUUAAUUAAAAAAAUUUUAAAAUAUUCAAAUAUAUUUUAUUAAUUAUUUAUGACAUAAUAAAAUUAAUUUAAAAAUCAAUUUAAAUAUAAUAAAAUUAUUAUGAAUAAAUAGAUUAAUUUAUUAAGUUAUAAAUUAAAUUCAUUAAAUAUUAUAUUUUAACAUUAUGUGGAUUAAAUACAUUUUAAUAGUAAUAGAUACACCAAGCAAACUCUACACACUAAUAAGUUCAUUAUCUAGAUAAUUAAUAUAAUAAUAAACCUUAAAUCAACACGCUGGGAAAUUGCAUGCUAAAACAUAAAUUCCAUGGGAAUUCAAAUAACACAUUUGAAGCUAACCAUUUACAUGAGUGUUCUCAUACCAGCCAGGAAUUCAUUAGUUACCUCUGGCUAUAGGAAAUUGUUAGUGGCAGACGGGUGAGUAAUGCGUAGGAAUCUACCUAGUAGUACGGAAUAGCCAUUAGAAAUGGUGGGUAAUACUGUAUAAUCCCCGAGGGGGAAAGAUUUAUCGCUAUUAGAUGAGCCUACGUUAGAUUAGCUAGUUGGUGAGGUAAUGGCUUACCAAGGCUAUGAUCUAUAGCUGGUCUGAGAGGACGAUCAGCCACACUGGAACUGAGAUACGGUCCAGACUCCUACGGGAGGCAGCAGUGGGGAAUAUUGGACAAUGGGCGAAAGCCUGAUCCGGCUAUGCCGCGUGAGUGAAGAAGGCCUUCGGGUGUAAACCCUCAUA